ACAACGUCUGGCUCUACAUGAUUUCCCUUUUCUUCUUCUUCUUUUUUUUUUUUCUAUCGGUUAGCAUGAGGCCAGUUCCAUAAAAGCUGUCGUGUCCUAACGUUGAGCAGACUUUCGAGGGGUAACGCCGCUUGUGAGAAGAAGACUUUAGGAAAAAUCUUUACUGGUACAGCACCGCAAGAGAUAUACUGCCCCGACGACCUUUUUAGAACACUUGGCCAAAGAAAACAGGUGACUGUCUCAGCGGAGCCGGAAACCCCUUAGGUGAGACAGCAUAAUCAUUGUAACCCACUAUUCAAAGCAGACAAAUGCCUGUGCACUCUCUUUCCAGAUUCCUCUUUAAUGCAGUGUCUUGCACACCAUUCGGGCUCUGUAUAUUGUUCACAGGUUUCUUUUUACCUUUUUUGUCAUUUGAUUUACAGUUUGCUUUAUCAAGUGCACAAAUAUGAUAUUGAGGGGGAUAUUUUCUUGUUUACACUCGUUAUCUUAUAAUCAUUGCUCAGUUAGAUUACAUCAUGUGCAUUAACCGGAACUGGCCCAUGUGUAUGGCAGCUGAAGUCUUUCACCAGGGUAACAUGCCAGGACAACUCCAGCAAGUGCUUUGCAGGUCACCUCUGAAUUAAAGGAACCUACCUAUUCCAGCUGUUUGAGCCUAAUGCCCUCGUCCUUGACACACAUACAAGUGUGCCCACACCCUCGGAGGAGCCUGCAUAGCGAGGACUCUGUCCCAGUGGCAAAUGGAACAGUUCUUUCACAAAGAAAGCAGAUUUCCACCAGAAGACCAACAAGCAGUUUACUUGAAAUAGUACCAAUUACUUCUCGUUUUUCUAAUUGCAAAAUAUUGGGCAUGCUACGUCAGUAUUGUUUUUUUUUUCCUUAUUUCCAGUUACCUCAACUGGUGACUUCAAGCUUACGUAACACAAUAAUAUAAGAGAGCAUGAAGCGGACGAACUGGUGUCGUGAGAUUGUGUCCCCCAGUCUUAGGGAUGUAUUAGACAGUAUUGGAAACCUGGUUGAACAAUAAAUUGGUUAAACGACAAACA
This is a long non-coding RNA of Ornithodoros turicata, 1043 nucleotides long. RefSeq lists it as uncharacterized. Lineage: Eukaryota; Metazoa; Arthropoda; Arachnida; Ixodida; Argasidae. The transcript is spliced from 2 exons. The record is from RefSeq and is a predicted model, not a curated record.